AAGUCAUAACAAGGUUUCCGUAGGUGAACCUGCGGAAGGAUCAUUCGAGAUAGGGCCUUUGGCCCCAAUCCCAACACACACACCGUGAACCGUGCCCGGGGACCUCGCAAGGGGUACCCUUGUAUCACACCUUUUACAAAGUUUGCUCAGAAAGGCAGGAUAUAGAAAUAGAAAAAUAA
This 179-nucleotide unclassified non-coding RNA is filed under the name plant metagenome. RNAcentral describes it as "partial contains small subunit ribosomal RNA and internal transcribed spacer 1". The stretch from base 1 to 46 matches the Rfam family "Eukaryotic small subunit ribosomal RNA", at positions 1786 to 1831 of the family's 1831-position model. The record is from RNAcentral.